Austrofundulus limnaeus is the source of this 330-nucleotide long non-coding RNA. RefSeq lists it as uncharacterized. The transcript has 3 exons. The record is from RefSeq and is a predicted model, not a curated record. Lineage: Eukaryota; Metazoa; Chordata; Actinopteri; Cyprinodontiformes; Rivulidae.
GACCGUGUCUCCAGCUGGAUGAAAAGAACCUUUUUAUGAGCUGAUGAGAGAAUGGCAGCAGAUGGCAAGUCGCCCCUUUGCUUCAGUUGCUGUGGAGCUGGAGGCGUCCGGCAACAAAGAAGAGCUGAAACAGGUGCCUGUUGCUAAUUGGACUUUGAAGACUGGAGAUGACUGAUUGGUGGCCUGCCGGAGGUGAUGACGAAAAAAGAUGCUGACAUGGACUUCCUGUCAUCCAUCUUCUGCUCAUCCCAACCAGCCACACUGUUUAGUUUUUCUGUUAGACACCAUGUUAAACAAAUAGUUUAAACUAAAGAGUUUGUAGGCAUGAGC